Molecule: non-coding RNA, 69 nt
Organism: Rattus norvegicus (Norway rat)
Lineage: Eukaryota; Metazoa; Chordata; Mammalia; Rodentia; Muridae
Source: Rfam
GGGGAUUUGGCUCAGUGGUAGAGCGCUUGCCGAGGAAGCGCAAGGUCCUGGGUUUGAUCCCCAGCCCCC